Pteropus vampyrus (large flying fox) is the source of this 133-nucleotide small nuclear RNA. Lineage: Eukaryota; Metazoa; Chordata; Mammalia; Chiroptera; Pteropodidae. The record is from Ensembl.
AAAAAGGGCUUCUCUCGUGCGUGGCUCACUAGGGAAGCUUGGUUGCUCUUCGUGUGGAAUCGACAUCAAGAGAUUUCGGAAGCAUAAUUUUUUGGUACUUGGGCAGCUAGUGAUCGUUGGUCCUGGCACUCCC